RNAcentral lists this ribosomal RNA (428 nucleotides) under Chloroflexota bacterium. RNAcentral describes it as "Chloroflexi bacterium partial 16S ribosomal RNA". It matches the Rfam family "Bacterial small subunit ribosomal RNA", at positions 355 to 775 of the family's 1533-position model. Lineage: Bacteria; Bacillati; Chloroflexota. The record is from RNAcentral.
UGGGGAAUAUUGCACAAUGGGCGCAAGCCUGAUGCAGCCAUGCCGCGUGUAUGAAGAAGGCCUUCGGGUUGUAAAGUACUUUCAGCGGGGAGGAAGGGAGUAAAGUUAAUACCUUUGCUCAUUGACGUUACCCGCAGAAGAAGCACCGGCUAACUCCGUGCCAGCAGCCGCGGUAAUACGGAGGGUGCAAGCGUUAAUCGGAAUUACUGGGCGUAAAGCGCACGCAGGCGGUUUGUUAAGUCAGAUGUGAAAUCCUCGGGCUCAACCUGGGAACUGCAUCUGAUACUGGCAAGCUUGAGUCUCGUAGAGGGGGGUAGAAUUCCAGGUGUAGCGGUGAAAUGCGUAGAGAUCUGGAGGAAUACCGGUGGCGAAGGCGGCCCCCUGGACGAAGACUGACGCUCAGGUGCGAAAGCGUGGGGAGCAAACAG